UACGGAGGAUCCAAGCGUUAUUCGGAAUCACUGGGUUUAAAGGGUACGUAGGCGGGAUAAUAAGUCAGUGGUGAAAGUCUGCAGCUCAACUGUAGAAUUGCCAUCGAUACUGUUGUUCUGGAGUGCUUAUGAAGUGGUUAGAAUAUGUAGUGUAGCGGUGAAAUGCAUAGAUAUUACAUAGAAUACCGAUUGCGAAGGCGGAUCACUAAUAAAAUACUGACGCUGAGGGACGAAAGCGUAGGUAGCGAACAGG
RNAcentral lists this unclassified non-coding RNA (253 nucleotides) under uncultured Flavobacteriaceae bacterium. Its description in RNAcentral is "contains 16S-23S intergenic spacer region". It matches the Rfam family "Bacterial small subunit ribosomal RNA", at positions 524 to 776 of the family's 1533-position model. The record is from RNAcentral. Lineage: Bacteria; Pseudomonadati; Bacteroidota; Flavobacteriia; Flavobacteriales; Flavobacteriaceae.